This 498-nucleotide ribosomal RNA is filed under the name Hanseniaspora uvarum. RNAcentral describes it as "partial large subunit ribosomal RNA". It matches the Rfam family "Eukaryotic large subunit ribosomal RNA", at positions 98 to 597 of the family's 3401-position model. Lineage: Eukaryota; Fungi; Ascomycota; Saccharomycetes; Saccharomycodales; Saccharomycodaceae. The record is from RNAcentral.
GCGGUAAAAGCUCAAAUUUGAAAUCUGGUACUUUCAGUGCCCGAGUUGUAAUUUGUAGAAUUUGUCUUUGAUUAGGUCCUUGUCUAUGUUCCUUGGAACAGGACGUCAUAGAGGGUGAGAAUCCCGUUUGGCGAGGAUACCUUUUCUCUGUAAGACUUUUUCGAAGAGUCGAGUUGUUUGGGAAUGCAGCUCAAAGUGGGUGGUAAAUUCCAUCUAAAGCUAAAUAUUGGCGAGAGACCGAUAGCGAACAAGUACAGUGAUGGAAAGAUGAAAAGAACUUUGAAAAGAGAGUGAAAAAGUACGUGAAAUUGUUGAAAGGGAAGGGCAUUUGAUCAGACAUGGUGUUUUUUGCAUGCACUCGCCUCUCGUGGGCUUGGGCCUCUCAAAAAUUUCACUGGGCCAACAUCAAUUCUGGCAGCAGGAUAAAUCAUUAAGAAUGUAGCUACUUCGGUAGUGUUAUAGCUUUUUGGAAUACUGUUAGCCGGGAUUGAGGACUGC